Daphnia carinata is the source of this 1149-nucleotide long non-coding RNA. RefSeq lists it as uncharacterized. The transcript is spliced from 4 exons. Lineage: Eukaryota; Metazoa; Arthropoda; Branchiopoda; Diplostraca; Daphniidae. The record is from RefSeq and is a predicted model, not a curated record.
AUAAAAAAAAAACUCAAAGCCAAAGUGAAAAUCUUGGAUGGCCAAGCUGAAGUUGGAAUGUGAGAAGUAUUGAAGAGAAACAGGCAUGAAAAGGUGCUUUGCAAAGAGCUGAAGGUUUUCAGGUAAAAAACAAUGUGGAAUGGCUUGCUAAAUCUAUUAUGAAACAAGAUGAAAUCAAAUCAGAUAGUAAAAAGAAGUUGGCUGAACGCAUCGAAGAAUAGGAAAAGAGAAAGGAAUAACAACAGAAAACGAGAAAAGCCAACAUUAAGAAAAAGAAAACUGAGAAGAAAGAACAUAAACUGAAUGAACGCCUCACACUUAACAGGGGAAAAGCUGGAAUUGUCUGAUAAGACAACGAAAAUCCAAUUUAAACGGAAGUUAGAGGGAAUGAAGAAGAAAUUAAAAAGAAAAAGUAAGAAGAAGAGGUCCUGAAUUGCCAAACAUGCUCGAGCCACCAAGGCAGUAUCUGUGUCAUCAACCUCUGGUCUUUCAGAGUUUGUUAAAACAGAAAUUCCUCAACCAAGACUAGCAAGUACACUGGCAACACCAAUUUUUAACAGUGAAGGCUGCCUAGUUUCCAGCAAAUGUGAUUUUGGAGAACUAUCUAAUUCCUCACCCAUUCUGAAAAAGACCACUUUAUAUCCAGAAGUGGCAACGAUUAAAAUGAAAGAAAAUAAAACUUAAACCAAAAAUGAAUAUCUUGGUAGGCCAAGCUGAAGCUGAGAAUGCAAGAAGCAUUGAAUAGAAACAGGCAUGAAAUGGUGCUCUGCAAAUAGCUGAAGGUUUUCAGGUAAAAGGCUAUGUGGAAUUGCUUGCCAAAUCAAUUAAUGAACGAGAUCAAAUCAGAAAGUAACAUAAAUUGCGCUGAACGAAUCGAAGAAAAGGAAAAGAGAAAGGAAUAACAACAGAAAAAGAGAAAAGCCAACAUUAAGAAAAAUAAAACUGAAAAGAAAGAACAUAAAGUGAAUAAACUAAAGAAAAAAGGCAAAUUUACCGUAUGAAAGACUGAUACUGACUCAUGGAUGAGCUAAACUCUUGUUCUUUCAUGUGCAGCCAUGUCGUGAUAGUUUUAUAGAAAAAUACACUGGCAUGCCUUCCAUGAUCGUGGAAAAUUUGAAGAAAAAAUAUCUUAGAUUCAUUUAAAAAGGU